This is a long non-coding RNA of Dermochelys coriacea (leatherback sea turtle), 410 nucleotides long. RefSeq lists it as uncharacterized. NCBI's taxonomy places the organism in Eukaryota, Metazoa, Chordata, Testudines, Dermochelyidae. The record is from RefSeq and is a predicted model, not a curated record. The transcript has 2 exons.
UCCGCCCACAUGAGAGAGAGAAUAUAAAAGGCCCUGGAAGCCUCUCCAUUUUGUCUUCAGCUGGCUCAAGAGAUGGCCUCUCCACCAUAAAGAGAUGCCUGAAAGAAACUGGAACAAAGGACUCUGUCUACGGGGGUGUGAGUAUUUGCUGGACCCAGGCUAUAAACCACAACAUUAGUCUAAAAAGGAUUGGGCCCAGACCAGGAAAGAGUCUAGUCUGUAAAAGAAGCUUAUUGGGACAUCUCUGAAGGUGAGAUUUGCCUGUAUUCAAUUUCCUACUGUAUUAUGCUUAGACUUGCCUUGUUUGUUUUAUUUUGUUUGGUAACUUACUUUCUUCUGUCUGUUCUUACUUGGAACCACUUAAAUCCUACUUUUUAUACUUAAUAAAAUCACUUUUGCUUAUUAAUUAA